Molecule: long non-coding RNA, 2358 nt
Filed under: Homo sapiens (human)
Lineage: Eukaryota; Metazoa; Chordata; Mammalia; Primates; Hominidae
Description: HSALNT0158990
Source: RNAcentral
CUCCGCCUCCCGGGCUCAAGCCAUUCUCCUGCCUCAGUCUCCCGAGGAGCUGGGACUACAGGUGCACACCACCAAGCCUGGCUGAUUUUUGCAUUUUUAGUAGGGACAGUAUUUCACCAUGUUGGUCAGACUGGUCUUGAACUCCUGGCCUCAAGCGAUCUGCCCGCCUCGGCCUCCCUAAGUUUUCGGAUCACAGGCGUGAGCCACCACGCCCAGCCGGAUUGCAAUUUUAAAUAGCAUAAUCAGAGAGGCUUAAUGGAAGAGGUAAUAUUUGAGGAAAGACCUGAAGAAGGUAAGGGAGUAGGCACUGAAGAUAUUGGGGGAACAGUGCUCCCCGAGACAUCUGGGCAGCCAGGCACAGGGACCACAAGCAGAAAAGGGUCCUGUGAGGGUUUCGUGUUUUCUUUACAAUUUGUCAAUGUGAACACCAUGCUCACACCAAAGAACAGCAAGUUUCCUACCUGGCUUCUCUGCCUUCCUCCUUCCUUCCCUCCCUUCCUCCCUCCUUCCUUCCUUUCUUCCUUUCUUCCUUCCGUUCUCCCUUUCUUCCCAAUAUGCCCCACUUCAAUGGAUGAGUUUUCCAGCUCCCUCGGCUGCUUUCUGCAUUGCACAUGACAAGUAUCCACUAAAUAUUCAUUCAUUAGAAACAGCCAGACGAUGCUGAGCCUCUGUAGCUCUCUAGCAUCUACCAUAGCACAGAUCUCAGGAAGACCCACAAGAUACAUUUGUCAACAAGUCGAUGGCCUCCUAUGUGGCCCUGUGCUGUGUGCUGAGGCUACAGGAAGGAACAAAGCCUCCUAUCUGGGGGCCCACUUCUGCAGUUAAGUUCAUCUGGUGUCCUUUGUAAUACUGCAAAGAGAACUUCUUACGCUGUAGCUGAAUGAGAGAAAUAUCCCAUUCCAAACCUCUGAUGGAAACUGGCCAAGUCAGCGUGUGAGAGGAAGAAGGAAGUGUGUGGCACCUCCUGCCUCGCUCUCUUCCUCCUGUUCCGGCCAUGUGAAGUGCUGGCUCCUCAUUUUCCUUCCACCAUGAUUGGAAGCUUCCUGAGGCCUCACCAGAAGCAGAUGCUGCCAUGCUUCCUGUACAGCCUGCAGAACCGUGAGCCAAUUAAACCUCUCUUCUUAUAAACUACCCAGUCUCAGGUACUUCUUUAUAGCAGUGUGAGAACAGACUAAUACAAUGACUACUGAUCAUAGUGGAUUGGCCACUGGAGAGAAAGCUGAUGGAGCAGAGAGCACUUGGGAAGAAACCAUUAAACACUGAAAGAGGAAGAGGUGGUGGAGAUACAUUGGAGAGAACAAAUACAAUAGACUUAUCUGAGGUCAAAUCAACAGAACCCAGCAACGGAUCAGACAGAGAGAGAAAGCAGAAAGAGUGAAAUAAAACUCCACGGUUCUAGCCUGAGUGAUUAAGGGCAGAGCAAUGUUCUGGACCUUGCUGGGAGAUUCAGGAAGAAGAGGGAAAUCUGGGUUUAUUUCAAGGAGGGGUGGGAAGGAGAGAUGAGAUGAAGGAGGACCAGGAAAAUAAAAUAUUUCAAGUUAGCUAUGCUGCAUUGGAAGUGCUUACCGCAUAUCCAGGUAAGACGUCCACUGGGUAGUUAAGAUCUAUGGGUCUGGAACCCAGGAGAGAAAUUGGGGUUGGAAAUGCAGACUUGGGAGUCAAAAUCAUAAUGAUGUUCUCAGUCUUUUGGAUUUCAAAUUUUAGUAAAAUUAUCAAAAGAAAAAAAGCAAUUUGCACGAGUAACUUUUUUGUUUGUGAAUUACCACCAUCUACUUUCACAAAGAACCAGACACUGUAAUUCCCAAAAGGUAUAAAAGGCAUCAUCUUAGAAUAAAAGGUCCUCCUUCAAAGAGAGUAAAUUUAGCCUUAUGGAAAACUUCCUCCAUCAUCCCCAUUUUUCUCAUUUUGCUGCAAACCUGUAAAACUUGUAUCCCACAGACAGUUUGGAUUGCAUUUGGCCACCAUGGGUUUGAGACAUGGCGGGAACAAAAGUGUGAGUUCUUUUGUUUGUUUUUUAGAGACAGAAUCUCACUCUGUUGCCUAGACUGGAGUGCAGUGGCACAGUCAUGGCUCACUGCAGCCUCAAACCCCUGGGCUCAAGGGAUCUUUCUGCCUCUGCCUCCCAGAUAGCUGGGGCCAGAGGUGUGCACCACCACACCUGGCUAUUUUUUUUAAUUUUUGUAGAGACGAGGUCUCACUAUGUUGCCCAGGCUGGUCUUGAACUCCUGCCUCAAGCAAUCCUCCUGCCUUGGCCUCCCAAAGUGCUGGUAUUACAGGCCUGAGCCACAAAGCCUGGCCAACCGUGAGGUCUGAUGAGACACCUUGUAAGAGCAUUUAGAGCUCACAGGGAAGAUGGGG